RNAcentral lists this ribosomal RNA (304 nucleotides) under uncultured bacterium. Its description in RNAcentral is "partial 16S ribosomal RNA". It matches the Rfam family "Bacterial small subunit ribosomal RNA", at positions 509 to 809 of the family's 1533-position model. The record is from RNAcentral.
CAGCAGUCGCCGCGGUAAUACGUAGGGCGCAAGCGUUAUCCGGAAUUAUUGGGCGUAAAGAGCUCGUAGGCGGUUUGUCGCGUCUGCCGUAAAAGUCCGGGGCUCAACCCCGGAUCUGCGGUGGGUACGGGCAGACUAGAGUGAUGUAGGGGAGACUGGAAUUCCUGGUGUAGCGGUGAAAUGCGCAGAUAUCAGGAGGAACACCGAUGGCGAAGGCAGGUCUCUGGGCAUUAACUGACGCUGAGGAGCGAAAGCAUGGGGAGCGAACAGGAUUAGAUACCCGAGUAGUCCCUGUCUCUUAUAU